This 732-nucleotide long non-coding RNA is filed under the name Callithrix jacchus (white-tufted-ear marmoset). Its description in RNAcentral is "lncRNA (ENSCJAG00000077761.1)". Lineage: Eukaryota; Metazoa; Chordata; Mammalia; Primates; Cebidae. The record is from RNAcentral.
AUGAGAGGUCAUGUGAAAGAAAGCACAGUUGUCCCAACUAAGGCUCUCCUAGGCCACCUCCCAGCCAGCCAACCCCUUACAUGUGAGAGAGCCAAGCCUAGAUCAGCAGACCUUCCUGCCAUCACACAGCUGUCUUCAGAUGUGUGGGUGAAACCAACUGAGACCACAGGAACCAUGCAGUUACCCUCAGUUCCAACGAGCAAGAAGAUUGGCUAUAAAAACUCCUGGGUAAAAUCAUCAUUCAAGAAGCCAAAGUUUCCUGAGGCCAUGAACAGCUACCAGGUCACAACUAGACGUGGCAGUCUGCAAGCCAGGAAGAGGGCCCCUACCAAGAAUUCAGCCAUACUGGUACCCUGAUGGUGUGCUGCCCAGCCUCCAUAACUGUGAGAAUAAUUGUCUGUUGCGUAAGCCACCCAGUCUGUGGUAUUUUGUCAUAGCAACCAAGUAGACUAAUAUAAGAAAAAAACCUAUAAGCCUGCUCUGUCCAAUAUGGUAGUCAUCAGCUGCCAAUUGUGAUUAUUGAGUGCUUGACAUAUGGCUGAUCUAAAUUGAGAUGGGCUGUAGGUGUAAAGUACAGAGCAGAUCUCAAAGACUUAGAUGAAAAAAGAAUGUAAAAUAUCUCAUUAAUUUUCUACAUUGAUUACAUGUUGAAAUAGUCAUAGUUUGUACAUAUUGAAUAAAUUAAAAUAUUUUUAUUAAAAUCCGUUUCUUUAGUUUUUUUGUUGUUGUAUA